Molecule: ribosomal RNA, 497 nt
Filed under: uncultured bacterium
Lineage: Bacteria
Description: partial 16S ribosomal RNA
Rfam family: Bacterial small subunit ribosomal RNA
Source: RNAcentral
GAUGAACGCUGGCGGCGUGCCUAAUACAUGCAAGUCGAGCGAACAGACGAUGAGCUUGCUCCUUUGACGUUAGCGGCGGACGUGUGAGUAACACGUGGGUAACCUACCUAUAAGACUGGGAUAACUUCGGGAAACCGGAUCUAAUACCGUAUAAUAUUUCGAACCGCAUGGUUCGAUAGUGAAAUAUGGCUUUUCUAUCACUUAUAGAUGGACCUGCGCCGUAUUAGCUAGUUGGUAAGGUAACGGCUUACCAAGGCAACGAUACGUAGACGACCUGAGAGGGUGAUCGGCAGCACUGGAAGUGAGCCGCGGUCCAGACUACUACGGGAGGCAGCAGUAGGGAAUCGUACGCAAUGGGCGAAAGCAUGACGGAGCAACGCCGCGUGAGUGAUGAAGGUCUUGGGAUCGUAAAACUCUGUUAUUAGGGAAGAACAAACGUGUAAGUAACUGUGCACGUAUUGACGGUAACUAAUCAGAAAGCAACGGCUAACUACGUG